Molecule: long non-coding RNA, 1115 nt
Organism: Apis dorsata (giant honeybee)
Lineage: Eukaryota; Metazoa; Arthropoda; Insecta; Hymenoptera; Apidae
Exons: 2
Source: RefSeq, a predicted model, not a curated record
GUUUUGAUAAAUUGUUAAAAUGAUUAUAAUUGCAAUAGGGAAAAAUAUUCGAUUCUUGAUAUCAUCGUUGGGUUUGACAAGGCAUCGUAAUCGAUUUAUGAUGGAUCGAUCGUCGAUCAAAGUAGUAUGACAAUAAUAUAAUAAUUAGUAUCCAUAAGACAAUAGUUUCGUACAUAAUGCUUAGACGAAACCGGUUUUCAGGUAGAUUAUUCCUUAUCGAAAUGAGUAAUUCUUGCUACGCAGAAUUCUAGUUAAUCAUAACCAAUAUACUUUUUCCCCAUUUGAAAAAAAAGUAAAAGAAAAAAGUAAGAUAAAUGUUAACCUGAACGACCCAGUAAACCAGAAUUCUAACUGUGUCAACAGGCAAGAUUAUGCACGCAUACGCAUCCGGCAAUAUAGUUUCUAGUAGCUCGUCACUUACGCCCUUCUUCGAUACACGUAUGCAUAAGCGGAAAAGGGGACGUCGAUCGAUGAUGAUAACACGUAACAUCGUGUUGAUUAGAUGAAGAAUUGCGAGACAGGUGGAUUAAAUUUUGUCUCAAUUUUGGCCAACUUAAUGCUUAAUCCUUCUUUCAAUUUAAUUGUAACGAGUUUAAAUGUAAGUAUAAAUGGAUUAUUUCACUUUUUGCAAGAUCUUUUGUUUUCGAUGUGAAAAGAGCAAUCCAAUGAUACGUUUUUAUGCGGAUUUAGGUUAAGUGAUGAAUGGAAGAAAUGUUUUGAUGAGGCAUACUGGAUUCAGGUUAUGUUCGGUUAACUGUUAAUCAUGGCGAUAACUUCGUUGAUUCUGAAACUGAUGCAAAUAUUCAAGAUAAGUGAGGCUUGCUGGAAAGAUGCUGAAAUUGAAAUUUAGAAAUAUAAACAGUGAUUGAAAAAGUAUCAAUGAAACAAGUGCAACUGAAUACAUUUGUAUUUGAGAAACUAUUAUGGAUUACCAAAGAACAAUACUUUUCUGUGUAAACUUGGUGAAGUGAAAUAUGGAAAUAAAGAAAAUUUAUUUUCUUAUUUUCUGCACUUUCUAUUGUUUUCACAUUAGCAUGUAUCCACACUUCUUUAGUGACGCUUCAACGAAUGAUUGUUUAUAGAGAUCGAUCAUACAAUGAAACCUAACCUGUAAA